This 484-nucleotide ribosomal RNA is filed under the name uncultured bacterium. RNAcentral's name for it is "partial 16S ribosomal RNA". It matches the Rfam family "Bacterial small subunit ribosomal RNA", at positions 28 to 523 of the family's 1533-position model. The record is from RNAcentral.
GACGAACGCUGGCGGCGUGCUUAACACAUGCAAGUCGAGCGGAAAGGCCCUUUCGGGGGUACUCGAGCGGCGAACGGGUGAGUAACACGUGAGUAACCUGCCUUCAGCUUCGGGAUAACCCCGAGAAAUCGGGGCUAAUACCGGGUAUUCAAAGUGUCCCGCCUGGGGCUGUUGUGGAAAGGGUUUGACCGGCUGGGGAUGGGCUCGCGGCCUAUCAGCUUGUUGGUGGGGUAGUGGCCUACCAAGGCGACGACGGGUACCCGGCCUGAGAGGGCGACCGGCCACACUGGGACUGAGACACGGCCCAGACUCCUACGGGAGGCAGCAGUGGGGAAUAUUGCGCAAUGGGCGGAAGCCUGACGCAGCGACGCCGCGUGGGGGAUGACGGCCUUCGGGUUGUAAACCUCUUUCAGCAGGGACGAAGGGUGACUGACGGUACCUGCAGAAGAAGCUCCGGCUAACUACGUGCCAGCCGCCGCAGUAA